GACGAACGCUGGCGGCGUGCUUAACACAUGCAAGUCGAACGGAAAGGCCCUGCUUUUGUGGGGUGCUCGAGUGGCGAACGGGUGAGUAACACGUGAGUAACCUGCCCUUGACUUUGGGAUAACUUCAGGAAACUGGGGCUAAUACCGGAUAGGAGCUCCUGCUGCAUGGUGGGGGUUGGAAAGUUUCGGCGGUUGGGGAUGGACUCGCGGCUUAUCAGCUUGUUGGUGGGGUAGUGGCUUACCAAGGCUUUGACGGGUAGCCGGCCUGAGAGGGUGACCGGCCACAUUGGGACGGAGAUACGGCCCAGACUCCUACGGGAGGCAGCAGUGGGGAAUAUUGCACAAUGGGCGGAAGCCUGAUGCAGCAACGCCGCGUGCGGGAUGACGGCCUUCGGGUUGUAACCCGCUUUCGCCUGUGACGAAGCGUGAGUGACGGUAAUGGGUAAAGAAGCACCGGCUAACUACGUG
RNAcentral lists this ribosomal RNA (468 nucleotides) under uncultured bacterium. RNAcentral's name for it is "partial 16S ribosomal RNA". It matches the Rfam family "Bacterial small subunit ribosomal RNA", at positions 28 to 507 of the family's 1533-position model. The record is from RNAcentral.